Miniopterus natalensis is the source of this 390-nucleotide non-coding RNA. The record is from RefSeq and is a predicted model, not a curated record. Lineage: Eukaryota; Metazoa; Chordata; Mammalia; Chiroptera; Miniopteridae.
UGGGAAGGCAGAGGAAAAGGCAGCGUGGAGAGGGGCCCGCAAACACGGAGCACCACUGUGUGCCAGACGCUGGAGCCUCAAAUAAAACCAGGCCCGAUCUCUUCCUCCCCUAAUGGGGCUCCUGAUCUGGCGGGGAGCUUGAGAUGAAAGAAAUUGCUGCAAAGCCCAUACUAUAAGCCGAUAAGGGCUCUGAUGGAGGUGGUACUUCAGGGAGCGGAGAGGAAGACUCAGUGGAGGAGGUGAUUGGAAGAUAUGUCUUGAAAGUUAAGGCUCCCCAACCUGUGUGCUCAGCAAACCAGUGGCAAUUGGUUAGUAAGUGCUUCUGGGGGCUUUUGAGCUAAUGAAGCAAAAAGACCCGUGAUACAGGGGCAGGCGAGGAGAAGCAGGCGU